Molecule: long non-coding RNA, 10803 nt
Organism: Neofelis nebulosa (Clouded leopard)
Lineage: Eukaryota; Metazoa; Chordata; Mammalia; Carnivora; Felidae
Exons: 4
Source: RefSeq, a predicted model, not a curated record
UCUUGCCAGGUGGUUAAGAGCGUGGACGUCGGGUUCAAACAUUGGUUCUGCCACCAAAAUGACUGGAAGUUCCUAUAAUCUUGCCGGACCUCUACCUCUUCAUUUAUUUGUUGUGGAUAAUAAUGCCUACUUUAUAGGGCAGAAUAGAUAGUCGUGAAUAGGAUGAGUUCUGGAGCCAGACGAGCUGAGUUCAAAUCAGGUUCUUCCACUUAUCACCUGUGUCACCGAGGGAUAAGUCUUUAAUUGCACUAUGCCUCAGUUUCCUCUUGUGUAAAAUGGGGAUAAUACUACUACUCAUUGUAUAGAAUUGCUGGGAGGAUCCAAGUAGUUUAACAUUUUUUAAAUGUUUAUUUUUAUUUUUUUUGAGAGAGAGAGAACACGAGCAGGGGAUGGGCAGAGAGAGAGGGAGACACACAGAAUCGGAAGCAGGCCCCAGGCUCCCAGCUGUCAGCACAGAACCCACAAGCCGCGAGAUCAUGACCUGAGCUGGAGUCAGGCGCUUAACCGACAGAGCCACCCAGGCGCCCCAGGAUCCAAUUAGUUUAAACAUAUAGAAGCUUCUUGAACAACGUCUGGCACAUGAUUCACAAUCAAUGGAUAUUAUCUGUGAUUAUUAGAGUGUUUCUAGGAAAAUUACAGUGAGAUAAUGCUCACAAAAGCCUUGUAUAUGUUGCACCCCUAGUAAGUGAUAGCUCUCAUUAGUGGGACACGAGCCCUUCGGUCCAUUCCCCCUCUUCCCACGCUCAUACUUGGGGAAGUUUGGAGCAAACAAUCCCAACUUCUCUCUAAUUGUUGUGCAAGCAACCAGUGUCUUCUUUCAUUUGUCACGGUUUGCUCCUCACUGUGCUGUUUACUAGUGGGCAAGGAGAUUCUUCUGCCUCUCAAACAGGAAGAAACUUCACCCUCUUGCCCCUCUGCAUGUGCUCAUUUCCUGCCUUCAUGGGGGAAGUCCACCUCAGAAGAAUCCUUCCGCUGGAGGAGGUAUCCCUCUCUCCCUUUCUGUCCCAGCCUCGCGUCUGACCUGGUAGAUAAGUCCCAGGGUUACAAGAUGAAUAGCUCUUUUGAGGGCAGGGGAUCGUCUGUUUCCUGGGCAUGGAGGUGGUGACGAAAAAGAUACAGAGGAGGCCUUCUCGAAGCCAGUGGGACCGAACGGGGGCCGCAGGCAAGAAAAGAGGAGAUGAUCCAGGCAAGAGUACAGCACAAGAGCGUAAUUCUCACCGCUGCAUCUUAUACCCGGGGGCAGAGCUGCAGAUGUUUCUGCGUCCCAGAAACGCCUCCCUUGGGCCACCUGAUUCCAGCGCAACAGUGAGGACGGUUUGCGCACACUGGGCCUGUCCUAUUUCAAACAUGCAGGGCUCGUUCAAAACCACAGUCAGUGGAAGGUCAGUCAGACUCUGUGCCUAGAAGAGCAAUGGGUGGAAAGAGAAUUAAUGCCUCCCGAGGCAAUCUGCGAGCAGUGGGGACUGCAGGUUGGUGACAACGUGAAGGUCAUUAAUGGUUUCUCAGAGGCUCCCCAGCAGGACUGAGUUCUGCUGUUCACAGAGGUAACUAGUUCAAUAACACACCUCUUAUAAGGGGGGGGGGGGGUCUUACCCCCCAACCCCAACUCACUCUCCUCGCGCUGUCACUGCUGCUUCCUGGGAUCACCUCACAAACAAACCACCCGCACCCACUUUCUGGUCUCAGGCUCUAAUGCUGGGGAGCUGACAGGGUUUGCUCUAAAAUGUGGCUCUGUUUACGCCCUUCCCCUCCCCAAAGUCCAUUUCGGGAGCCCAUUAAUUCCUGGAUGAUGGUACAUUUCCUGAGCCUGUCCCCCAAGACCCUGCUGGCUCUGGUCACUUCUCCCCCAAAGCCCUGGCCCUUGCCUCUUGGCCCCGAUGUGCCCUUUGCUCCGGCCGUGCCAGGCUACAGUUCACGCUCUGGUGCCUUCUCACUAACUGGAACAUUCCUUACCUUACCCCAUUGCAAAAGCUCAGGUGUCCUUCACCACACUGCUCACGUGUCCUGUCUUCUGGAAAGUCCUCCCUGACCUCCCGCAUGCAGCUGGAGCUGCUCCCCACUUAUGGUCUCAUUUUUCCUUUCCGCCAUACUCGAAUUGGCUAGUUAGCUGCCCUCUCUCCCUCUUGACUCUGUGCUCCUUUCUAGAGCAGAGACUACAUGCACCCUAUGCAGUUUUGUGUCCCGGGCCUAGUGCUCAGCUGGGACAGAGUUGAAAUGUGGCAGGGUGAGCGGGGACAGGACCAGGAGACGCAAGGCCCGGCGAGGGGCACAUGCGUGGUACCUUCCUGGGCUAAGGGCUCCACAUCCCCAAGGCCCGUCGCCCCAGCACCCCCACUCCUCUAAAAUUUGGUCUCUUGUCCGUUCAGCCUCAGGUCCCGCAACCUCACCUUCUGUUCAGAGCUUUAGCCACACCCAGUGUUUGCUGAACACCACAGACUCUUAAGCCACCCUGACUCUGCUCACAACCUUCCCUUUACUUGGAUUACUCUAGCUGCCCCUCCCCCCCCCCACACCCCCAGGAAUUUCUCCCUGCCCUUCAGGGCCCUUAUCAAGUACACGUGCAUCCAUAAGCCCUCACCUGCCAGGAACUGUGCCUUGUACGUUGUAGGUGCUUAAGAAGCUGGUUGUGGUUGUAUUGGGUGUGCUGGGUGGAGUGGGGGUCAUGGAUAUAUGUAUUUCAUAAAUACUUACAUUGGGCUGAAUAUAUCCUAGGCACUACUCCGUGUGCUGUGCACUGGUGAACUAAGUCUUUUAAAUGCUUAUUUUUGAGAGAGAGAGAGAAAGAGUCAUCAGAGAGAGAGAGGGGGCGAUAGAGGAUCCAGAGCGCCCUCUGCGAUAACACAGAGAGCCCAACGCGGGGCUCGAACUCACAGAGCACGAGAUCGUGACCUGAGCCGAAGUUGGAUGCUUAACUGACUCAGCCACCCAGGGGCCCUGAACUAAUUUAAUAUACAUAGUUCUAUAAGGAAAGUCUGACUGUUAUGCCCCACAGAGAGGCUGCUUAACUUUUCUAAGAUUGCAUAGCUAGAAAGUGCUACAGAAAGGAUUUGAACCCAAGCAAUUUGAGAAGGACAAACGUUCUUUUGCAGGCACGGGGGGCCAUGAAAGGGCUUUGAGUUCUGUCGGUGUGGAAGCACUGAGGGUAGCUCUGGACAGGACCAGGCUACACAGACGUGAGCUGUGAUUUUACUGGGCUGUGCAGGCUUGAAGUGACCGUAGGACAGGGGGAUUCAGGGGCUGUUCCUCAGGUCCCCAGGACAGUGGAGGUGGCUCUCAGGUCCUGGGGAGCCUUUGCUGUUGAGACAGAGCAUGUGGGAUGGCAAGAGGACCUUUUAAAUGGACGCUCUAAACUGGAAGGAGAAAAUCAAAUACUUGCUAUUUCGAUCAGACUCCCUUUCUGGGAGCUCUGAGGCCAAGCCUGGGUGAUCAGGGCAGCUGUGGACCCCUUGCAGGUGGCUGGGAACAACUUUAGAGGCCUGGGCUUCAGGUGAGGUGUGGACAUUGGCCCGAUCUUCACCGAGCAGGGCGCUGGAGGAGUGUGACUGGCAGGGAGUCUCUCUUGACUCCAUGAGCCUACUUUCUGCUCUGCCUUGGUAGGUGAGAGGGGUUCUCAAAAUAGCAAAAAUGGUGUUUAUGAAUGGAUGUGGGGAUCACAGGAAGACCCCCGUGUCAGUGGUCAGAAGCUUCGAUGUAAUAUACUGGGUGAUUUUGGUGGCAAGCUAUUUUCCCUCUAUGGGACUCAGUUUCCCCAUUUGUGAAAUGCAAAGGUUGGGCUGGAAGCCCAUGAAGGGCUCUCCUAGACUGAUGUUUAAUGAUUCUUCCUCGGGAAGCAGGAGGAAGGAGGGAAAAUGGGGUCUGUUAUGGCCUGAAUUGCGUCUCCCCAACCUUCAUCCAGAUGUUGAAGUCUUAACUUCAGAAUGGGACUGUAUAUGGAGACAGAUCCUUUGAAGAGGUCAUUAAGGUGAAAUGAGGUAUUUGGGAUGGGUUCUAAUCCAACCCGACUAGCGUCCUUACAUGAAGAAGAGUCUAGGACACAGACACACACGGAAGGAAAGCCAUGUGGAGACACCAGGAGAAGAUGCCCAUCUAAAGCCAAGGACGGAGGCCUCAGAGGAAAUCCACCUGCCAAGACCUUGGCCUUGGACUCCUAGCCUCUUGAACUGUGAGAAAAUCCAUUUCUGUUGUUUAAGCCACCUGGUCUGGAGUCCCUUGUUGUGACAGCCCUAGUAAACUGAGACAGGGUAACACCACCGCAGAUGCAAUGGCGGUGUCCUCCAGCUGCGGUGUCUGGGGCCAGGCUAAACCCGAGAGGAAAGCAGUGCAGACAGGACAAGGGGAGGGGUUCAGAGCAGGUCAUCCUGGGCAGUGUGUACAGAGCCUGCUAUGUUGUCAGGUCUAGAUGAGUAAGCCCUAGCCCUGCCCUCAAGGAGCUUCUAGUCUUCUGGAGGAGACAAAUACACAGUGACCCUUGUGCAGUGAGAGCCCUACAGUGAUGAAAUAUAUAUACCAUGCAGAUGCAGGAGGCCCGGGAUGACCUCACAGAGAAGACGCUUUGAAGGGUCAGUCGUCGUACUCGCCAAUUAGGGACCAGAGGGAAGAGCAUCUUAGGCAGAAAGGCCGGAACGUACGACGGCACAGAGACCCACGUGAUUCCGCGAAGGGAGGGAGGGAGGCAGGAUGCUGGCCAGCAGGACGGGACUGGAUCAGACAGACCCAGCCGCGGAGGAUGGACUUCCUCCUGAUUGGACUGGGGAGCCUGUGAAGGGUUAGGAGGGGGCUGAUGAUGCAAUUCAGCAUCAGAGGGAACAUCGCUUACAAGCAUGGGGGUCUGCAGCUAGACCCCCUGGGUCUCAGCAGUGCCGCUUACUAGCUGGUUGACCUUGAGCGGGUUACUUAUUCUCUGGGAACCUCUGUUCUCACCUGUGAAAUGAUGGUAACAGCAUGUGCCUUCUAGGUUCGCCACAAAGAUUAAGUGAACACCUACUAACAUGCUUUCCACAGUGCCUGGCAGGUUGAUGGCUCUUAAUUCACCCUGGUUGUUGGCUCAGCCUUGGUUUUGACACCUGCUCUCCUGGGGCUGAGACCAUUAUUUCAUCAACCCUUUCCAUUUGGUGAAGUGAGGAGUGAGGUCAGCGUAGGAAAUCAAUCAUCACAAACUGGAACCAGGAACUGAGAGGUGCAGAGGCUGCUGGAAAUGCAAGAACUUGCCAGGACGCAUUUCUGUAGGGUUCUAGGAGUCCUGGCCCUCAGCGGGGCACCCUCCGACACCUCGUAGGUUUGUGACGCACGUGGAGGAAGGAACUGAAAAGGGGACCUGAAAGAUGUGUUUUCUCAGAAACAGGCAAAGGGGGGCAGCAGAAUUGGGGGUGGGGGUAGAAUCACAGCCCCUCAGGACUGAGAGGCCCUCAGAGGUUAUCUGGCCUACAGAUACCAAAAUGGCAGCCGCUGCAUUAGCCUUGGCUCGAAGACCUGCUUUAGUUAACUUUAUAGUGUUUGAUAGGAUUAAAAGGGGCAAAGAGUUACUAGUUUUUAUAAUUCAACAUUUUUCACAAAACAUCCAGAUGUCCACCUUCUGAUGAAAAUCAGAACAUCUGGGAACGGUAGGCCAGCAUUUCCAUUUGGCAAGUGUCAGCAGCAACUGGAUGGCCAAUGCUGCCACAUCAGGUUCCCUUAGUUCAUUUUUGUUUUGUCCCUGCCCUGUUCUAGUAGGCAUUUGCUCGUAAGAUCACCAGGUGUAGGCCAGUAUUCUUAUUUUACAGAUGAGGAAACUGAGACCCAGAGUGAGGAUUUACCCCAUCCAAUUUUACACAAGUGAGUGAUCGAGCUCAGAAGGAACUCUGGGUCUCCACACACUCAGCCAAUUUCCACGCUCUGGGUUUUUUCCCCCUUUGCCUCAGUGUCCUGGUGGGAAGGACCAGGGAGCAAGGGGACAUGGUCUGCUUUUACCUUUAAUUGAUGGUAAUUUAAAAUUUUGUUUAAUGUUUAGUUAGUUUUGAGUGAGAGAGAGAAAGAGAGGGAGACAGAGAGCAGGGGAGGGGCAGAGAGAGAGGGAGACACAGAAUCCGAAGCAGGCUCCAGGCUUCGAGCUGUCGGCACAGAGCCCGACGCGGGGCUCGAACUCACGAACUGUGAGAUCAUGACCUGAGCCAAAGUCGGACACUUAACUGACUGAGCCACCCAGGCGCCUUUCAUCAGUGGUAGUUUUAAUAGUAACAGUAGUUAUCUGUUAAAAGCCUACAAAUUAUCGGGGGCUUCAUCCACAUUUAAUCCUCAUAACAAACCUGGAAAAUAGAUGUUAUUAUCCCAGUUUUUCAAAUGAGGAGUCUGAGGCUCAGAGAACUCAAAAAAGGUUUGCCUAAGGCCACCAGGCCACUGCAUGGUGGAGCUGGGACUUGAAUGGGGUCUCGCUGAAGCUAAAGCUCCAUGCCUUUGUUGCAGGCCUAUUAUUAAUUGAGCACUGGGUUAGGCCCUGGAAGCUGCAAAUCUUGGAAAGUUCUGGAGGCCACAGUCUGAAUGAUUUACCAAUGGGCAAUUUGGACAGCUGAAGGCAUGUCACAGGAGGUUUUGAUUUGCUGAAGUCCCAUGAGCUUCACGAGAGAGGGGUGACCUUAUCUCUCCCUGGGUCUGUCCACCUCUUUCUUCUCAGGCAGUCCUCAUCCUGGGAGGGGGCACUGGGAAAGGAGUGGGGAGACCUGGCCGAGGCUUCUGUUUACGAAUACAGAAGGCUUGCUCAUCUUCAAGAGCUCCCCACUCCCCAGCGUCCCCACGCUGGGUUAAUGGUCCCAGCUGAGGAUUCCCUAGCACUGUGACCUGACCUUGCACAUGGCAGUUGUCUCUUGGUGUGGACGUUUCCUUUAGUUUGUCUGUCUUCCCUCUUUAGAUUGUCUGCUCCCUCUGGCCAAGGGUCGAAUCUCAUUUAUGUCUAUAUCCCCACCACAUCGCCCAGUACAUGACUCACAACGGGCACAACUAUGGGCCUCUGGAAUGAAUGAGUGAAUGAAUCAAUGAAUGAAGGUACAAUGAAGGAACUAUUUUUUCUUCUUUUUUUUAAAGCUUAUUUAUUUAUUUUGAGAGAAAGUGAGAGAGCACAAAAGUCUGCAAGCAGAGGAGGGGCAGAGAGAGGGAGGCAGAGAAUCCCAAGCAGGCUCCUUGCCGUCAGCAGGGAGUCCUAUGGGAAGCGCCAUCCCACAAACUGGGAGAUCAUGACCUGAACCAAAGUCACGAGUCGGACGCUUAACUGACUAAGCCACCCAGGCUCCCUGAAGGACUAUCUCUUCUUUUUGAGGCUUAGUCUCUGGGAUCUGAAUCUUGGCUCCACACUUACUGAGUAGCAUGGACAAAUUCUCUAACCUCUCUGGGCCUCAGUUUCUAUAACUGUCAAAUGGAGGUGAUAAUCAUGCUUAUCUCAUUGUUCUUUGUUAGAGUUGAUUUCUUACCCGUAAAGGACUUAGCACAAUAUCUUGUACCAUGCUGUCUAAUACAGCAGCCACUAGUCACAUGUGGCUAUUUAAAUGAACUAAAAUAAAAAAAAAAAAUGAUCUAAAAUUAAAAAUUCACCUUUAAAGCAAAAAUCAAUUGCACUAGCCACAUUUCAAGUGGCUGGUCUAGAACCACAUGCGGCUAGUGGCUGGUAUAUUGGGCAACCCAGCUAGAGAAUGUUUCCAUCACAGAAAGUUCUAUUGAACAGAGCUGGUCUGGAACAUAGUAAGUUACUAUUAUUCUUACCGUUACCGUUACUCUCUCUCAGCUCAAGGCGGAGUGGAGUGCCGGGUUCUCUUUUGCACUAAUGGUGGAGAGUUGCCCUCAUGGCAGAGAAGGCUGAGACCGGACCCUGUGUGCGUCCUCUUCCUGGAAUGCUUUCCCCUGACCAUCACCUGGGCACUUCCUACUUGUGCCAGUGCCUGAGUGUCGGGCUUUAAAAAAGUCUUCAAAAGGCUGAGCCCAACAUAAGAGCUCUCCCCUCCUCUAUGAGGCUGGGCUCUCUUCAAGGGCAGGAGUGGGUUUUAUUCAUCCCUGUGUCUCCAGUGCCCAGCAUUUGGCAAGCACUCAAGAUAAGCUCGCCGAGGAAAUAGAGGGGCUGAGCCUACAGGUUUCCAAGGAUCUAAGGCGACAUGUUUGCGUGGCUUUGUGGCUGCAUCAGAGGCUUUGUGCCUGGGAGUGUGGAAGAGAGGGGGUGCUAGGAAGCAGACUGGGUCCGUGGACAGGAAGCAGGAGCAUAGGAAAUACUGGCAGGAGAGUGCGUGGCCUUCGAGACUGGUGGAGGCCACCAGGGACAUUACUAGAAGCACAAGGUGAGUGGGUGGGUGAACAGACAUCCCCGAAUUAAGGGGAGAACUGUCUUGUGCACAGGAGACAUGCCAAGGCCUCCCUGAAUCUGAGAGGAGGGACCAAGGUUUCAGGACACCCUGGUGGGGGUGGGGCAAGCCACUAGCAUCACUUAGUUUCUGUAACACGUCCCCAUUUGUCUUCAUUUUUGUCCUGUCCUGGUGGGGCUUGGGGAAAUGAAAGUUUACCCAUAUCUUUUAGUCUGUAAUCACAGAGACUCUUUAGUUUGGCUUCUCUCAUAACUGCAGAUUCUUUCUUUUAUGGGCGUGUUUUCUCUGCCAAGUCUGUAUUGUUUCAAGGAGAAGCAGGAUGUCUCAGGUAAACUGUUGUAUUUUUUUGUAUGUAUUUAUUUUUUUAAAUCAUUUAUUGUCAAGUUAGCUAACAUACAGUGUAUACAGUGUAGUCUUGGCUUUGGGAGUAGAUUCCUGUGAUUCAUCGCUUACAUACAACACUCAGUGCUCCUCCCAAGUGCCCUCCUCAAUGCCCAUCACCCAUUCCCCCCCCAACCCCCACCGCCUUCAACCUUCAGUUUGCUCUCUGUAUUUAAGAGUCUCUUAGGGUCUGCCUCCCUCUCUGUUUGUAACUUACUUUUCCUUCCCUUCCCCGAUGGUCUUCUGUUAAGUCUCUCAACUUUCACAUGAGUGAAAGCAUAUGAUAACUUGUGGUGAUCAGGCGUAGUCUUCUGUAAUCAUCUCACAGAUCCGAGGCCCAUUUUAGGGGAGGGGUGUGUCUUUUGCCCCCCACAGUCAUUGGAAGCCACCACUGCCUACAAAUCCUCUCCUGCUCAAAUCUCUACCUGACCCUCCCUGCCCUAAAAACUCCUUAAGCCGCUCCCUUUUGAUAUCAGGGUCAGCCUCAACUCUACAUUGAGGUCCACGUGGCUCUGUGACGUCUGGCCCUGAUGGCCCUGAUGCCCGUCCGUCUUUAGCCCCCAGCCUCUCCUUCGCACUCUCUCUGCCCCCACCAGCCUCACUCAACUUUCUGUUUUCCCAACCAUCCUGCUUUCUAUCAACACUGGGACUUUGUGUGUGCUUUUUCCACUGCUUGGUUCCGUCGGCCCCUGCCUUGUCAUCUGGCUGACUCCUGCUCAUUUCUGAGGGCUCAGCAUAGAUGUCAAUCCUCUAAACCUUCCCCUCUGCAUCCUAGGACUCUCUGGGAUGGCCCACACCUGCCACCUGUCACCUGCCAUCUAUAUUGUAAUUACGAGCUGAGGCCUGCAUGCUGUCCAGGUGGUAAGCUCUGAGCAGGCAGGGCCACGACUGUCUUACUAAUGAUUGUCCACUCAGUGUCCGGCCGAAGGCGUAGAGGAUGCUUGGUGAUACCUGAUGAAUGAGUCAAAAAGGUGAAUUAAUCAAUGUCAUCAUCAAUUUCAUAAGCCACUCUCUGAUUACUGGUUCUGACAGUCUUGAGAAUGCCUUUCCACUUGAAUGUGGAAAUGACUUACUCAUCACAAGAGUUUGCUCAUUUACUUGCCCCCCAAAAUAAAAUAAAAUUAUACCAAUGGCUUUGUGUUCAUUUGCUUUUACAGCUCAGAGGUUAUUAGCGUGGACUUUGGGGUCAAACUGCCUGGAUUUGAAUUCCAGCUUUGCCCGUUAGGGGCUGUGUGACAUCCUGUAUAUUACUUAACUUUUCUGUACCUCAGUUUCCUCGUCUGUAAUAUGGGGAUGGUAAUAAUAUGUAUACAAUAUGAUUGCUGUGAGGCUUCAAUUAGAUUACACUUGUAAAGAGAUAGCCCCUAGCACACAGAUGUGCUAUAUAAAAUUUGUUAGGUAAAGUAAAUAAAGAUAAAGCUCAAAUAAUAAGGUGGUCUCUUUGAUGAUAACCUUUUGGGGUAAAGCUUUGGCAUGGUCCUAGCACAAGGCAAAUUCGUGUCAGAGGGGAAGUUCAUUUUCAGUGUGUGGCCAUCCCCUCUUCCCACUCUUUUCUCGCCCUCUGUGGUAUUUCAUCCCACUCGUAACUCCUAGAAGUCUCAUCCUUUUCACCUUCUCCAUCUAGCAACUGCUUUCAGAUCUGUUAAAAAGACCAGUUAAUACUCUAGUGCAAACGACUUCUAGGGUUUAAGGUAUCUCCUCCCCAAAAUAUUGUCUUAACAUGAAGCGCCCUAAUUCCAAGAAUCUGGGAGGGUAGAAAAGCCUUGUUACUACAUGUCUAAGGACAGCAGACUUUGGCCAGGCUUAUUUAUGACAUCUCCCAGAAUAAGGAAUCAAGAGUGGGAGGGUUAGGCUCAUGGAGCUUAACACUGAGAAUCUUGGGGACACAUUGGGAAGAGAGAGAAAAAUGUACCAUCUAAUAACAGUGGAUGAGUUUAAAAUAGAAAAUCAGAGUUCUAGCUAGCCCACACUGUCACUCCGAGGCUACUGAGCCCUCAGGUGCCAUGUGACCCGCCCUCAGAGGAGAGCUGCGGUCUGAGGGUCAGCGUGGCAGCGGCCAGAGCUCAGCAUGGGACCCCCUGGCAGGAGGCCGCCUGGAGCCUGUAAA